AGUACUUUACAGUUGGUCCCAGCAGGUUAAACAUUCACUUCAUAUUGCGCAAUCCCAUAAUAUGUUCCACUGACCAGCUCUGAUGACUUUGUGAUGACAUGCCUGGGUGUGUCUGAGAGUUUUGGAAAUCUAACUAAUACAUGUCUUCAAAAUAAUUUGGAACCGACAAGGACUGGAACUGAGGUGCAGAAUCUUACCUGAGAUUUCACUACUUUUAUCAUUACUGAGAUUUUGUCACUUAUAACGAUUAACAAAAUGGUUCAUAUUGCAAAGAAACUGGUCUUUCUCUGCAUGCUGAUUGGAUGCUCACAGGCUUUUCCAUACCAUGAUGUCACCACUGAGGAUGAAAAAUUUGAAAAAGCAAUGAAAAUGUUUGAGGUCACUGAUUUUACUCCACCAGUGUGCCGUGUGGUAAAUGAGAGUUUGGACUGUCCGUUGUCAUGUGAAAAUGCAAGCUGGGAAGUGACUUACAUCAUGUCAGAUGGUGCUGGUUCAGGAAUUGAUCACCCCACUUUUUCUGCCACUGACUCUACCGAAUUCAACCUUACAUUUUUCAUCUUCAUUGAUACAACUGUAGAUGAAAAUGGCUACAAUGCAACCAUUGUGAAAUAUAUUGGUUCCUGCUGCUUCCACGAUGUGCAGAUUACUGUGAUAGACAAGGCAGGAAACAGGGCAAAGUGCCCUUUUAAUAUAAUACGCCCAGUGACCACAAUCAGUCCAAUGACUGUCAAACCCACAUCCAGUAGCUCUACCACAACCAUCUCUCUUUUGUCAAGUUUUAUAGUGAUGGCACUGAAAUCUAUACUGUUUUAACAUGGAUGUUAACUGUAUGUAAAUGUGCACUUAAUGAAAAAUGAUUUUUUUUAAUGACUUGUACGAUAUAGUACAUGAAACUGUGACAGGCCAGCAUUUUUUUAUUUAUUCCUAAUUUUACUGCAAUCAUGUACUUUUACUAUUUAUAUUGCUGUAUACUUAGAGAAUAAAAUCAAACUUGUGAAAGUA
Ctenopharyngodon idella (grass carp) is the source of this 1002-nucleotide long non-coding RNA. RefSeq lists it as uncharacterized. The transcript has 3 exons. Lineage: Eukaryota; Metazoa; Chordata; Actinopteri; Cypriniformes; Xenocyprididae. The record is from RefSeq and is a predicted model, not a curated record.